AUGCAAGUCAAGGGGGCCCGCAAGGGCAACCGGCGAACGGGUGCGUAACACGUGAGCAAGCUUCCGAUUUGUGGGGGAUAGCCGGCCCAACGGCCGGGUAAUACCGCAUACGUUCAUUAGACGGCAUCGUCUGAUGAGGAAACCUCCGGGGCAAAUCGAGGCGCUCGCGGCCUAUCAGCUAGUUGGCGAGGUAACGGCUCACCAAGGCGACGACGGGUAGCUGGUCUGAGAGGAUGGCCAGCCACAUUGGGACUGCGACACGGCCCAGACUCCUACGGGAGGCAGCAGUGGGGAAUAUUGCGCAAUGGACGAAAGUCUGACGCAGCGACGCCGCGUGUGGGAUGAGGCCUUUCGGGGUGUAAACCACUGUUGCCCGGGACGAACAUCCUUUUUCGAGAGGACUGACGGUACCGGGUGAGGAAGCACCGGCUAACUCUGUGCCAGCAGCCGCGGUAAUACAGAGGGUGCGAGCGUUGUCCGGAAUCACUGGGCGUAAAGGGUGCGUAGGUGGCUUGGUAAGCGUGUGGUGAAAGUCCGGGGCUCAACCCCGGAUCUGCCGUGCGAACUGCGAGGCUUGAGCAAUGUAGAGGCAGGUGGAAUUUCGGGUGUAGCGGUGGAAUGCGUAGAGAUCUGAAAGAACACCAGUGGCGAAGGCGGCCUGCUGGGCAUUUGCUGACACUGAGGCACGACAGCGUGUGGAGCAAACAGGAUUAGAUACCCUG
Molecule: ribosomal RNA, 722 nt
Filed under: uncultured Gemmatimonadota bacterium
Lineage: Bacteria; Pseudomonadati; Gemmatimonadota
Description: bacterial SSU rRNA
Rfam family: Bacterial small subunit ribosomal RNA
Source: RNAcentral